This 553-nucleotide ribosomal RNA is filed under the name Klebsiella pneumoniae. Its description in RNAcentral is "partial 23S ribosomal RNA". It matches the Rfam family "Bacterial large subunit ribosomal RNA", at positions 305 to 867 of the family's 2925-position model. RNAcentral also lists the same sequence under 1 other name. The record is from RNAcentral. Lineage: Bacteria; Pseudomonadati; Pseudomonadota; Gammaproteobacteria; Enterobacterales; Enterobacteriaceae.
AGAGUCUGAAUCAGCUUGUGUGUUAGUGGAACGGUCUGGAAAGUCCGACGGUACAGGGUGAUAGUCCCGUACACCAAAAUGCACAGGCUGUGAACUCGAAGAGUAGGGCGGGACACGUGGUAUCCUGUCUGAAUAUGGGGGGACCAUCCUCCAAGGCUAAAUACUCCUGACUGACCGAUAGUGAACCAGUACCGUGAGGGAAAGGCGAAAAGAACCCCGGCGAGGGGAGUGAAAAAGAACCUGAAACCGUGUACGUACAAGCAGUGGGAGCACCUUCGGGUGUGACUGCGUACCUUUUGUAUAAUGGGUCAGCGACUUAUAUUCUGUAGCAAGGUUAACCGUAUAGGGGAGCCGCAGGGAAACCGAGUCUUAACUGGGCGUUAAGUUGCAGGGUAUAGACCCGAAACCCGGUGAUCUAGCCAUGGGCAGGUUGAAGGUUGGGUAACACUAACUGGAGGACCGAACCGACUAAUGUUGAAAAAUUAGCGGAUGACUUGUGGCUGGGGGUGAAAGGCCAAUCAAACCGGGAGAUAGCUGGUUCUCCCCGAAAGCU